UAAGUAUAUGUUGGUGGGCUCAGCCGAUCUCCCAAUGGCUUCCAAUCUGAUCCUGUGAAUACCAACCAUUUUCCUUUUGGUUUUGGCAGACUUUUGGCAAAUCCCUGUGUCCUAGCUAGGUUUUUUUUUUUUUGCUCAAGUUAAUUUCUGCCAACUUAAUGGAUUCUGGUCAAUCCUGAUGAUUUCAGUUGAUUUCCAGUCAUUUAAAAAAAACAAAAAGUUUAUUCCAUAAAUGGUUUUGAUGGGUACAAAUUUAUCCUGUUCCAAAAUCCUACAAGUGACCCUGAACCCAACCUUAUCCUGUUCCAAAAUCCUACAAGUGACCCUGAACCCAACCUUAUCCUGUGAACCUUAGCAGUUGUAUUUAGCGCCUGUUACUCUGCAUCUAAAACCACUAUUGCUCAAUAGAUACUUCUUAUCAACCAGCAACUGGUACCUUACUUAAAAGGGGAGCUUGAACUCUUUGUUGUAGUGUAUGUGGGUCAAGAUUGUCAUUAUGCUCUUAAAAUAUGUAAACUUCACAUGCUCAAGUAAUCAUGAUUAGACAUCAGAUAUUUCUAUAUUUUUCUUCACCUCAAAAGGGGUAGUAUUUGUCUUGCCAUAUUUGGAUCUCAUUUAUAGCAUGUGAGAGUCAUGAUGAUAAGCCAUCAUCGUGCUGCUUCUUGUAUUUGGUGUCCAGUAUGUUGUAUAUGGAGUUCACAAAAUUCAUCAAUUGGAUAAUUUUUGGUCAUUAAAUCCUUUCUUUUUAGUUUAAUGGUCUUGGGAUUGUUGUUAUGCAU
Molecule: long non-coding RNA, 779 nt
Filed under: Musa acuminata (dwarf banana)
Lineage: Eukaryota; Viridiplantae; Streptophyta; Magnoliopsida; Zingiberales; Musaceae
Description: long non-coding RNA (MACU_LNC001094)
Source: RNAcentral